GAUGAACGCUGGCGGCGUGCCUAAUACAUGCAAGUCGAGCGAACGGACGAGAAGCUUUCUUCUCUGAUGUUAGCGGCGGACGGGUGAGUAACACGUGGAUAACCUACCUAUAAGACUGGGAUAACUUCGGGAAACCGGAGCUAAUACCGGAUAAUAUUUUGAACCGCAUGGUUCAAAAGUGAAAGACGGUCUUGCUGUCACUUAUAGAUGUAUCCGCGCUGCAUUAGCUAGUUGGUAAGGUAACGGCUUACCAAGGCAACGAUGCAUAGCCGACCUGAGCGGGUGAUCGGCCACACUGGAAGUGAGCCACGGUCCAGACUCCUACGGGAGGCAGCAGUAGGGAAUCUUCCGCAAUGGGCGAAAGCCUGGCGGAGCGACGGCGAGUGAGUGAUGAAGGUCUUCGGAUCGUAAAACUCUGUUAUUAGGGAAAAACAUAUGUGUAAGUAACUGUGCACAUCUUGACGGUACCUAAUCAGAAAGCCACGGCUAACUACGUG
This 497-nucleotide ribosomal RNA is filed under the name uncultured bacterium. RNAcentral describes it as "partial 16S ribosomal RNA". It matches the Rfam family "Bacterial small subunit ribosomal RNA", at positions 28 to 507 of the family's 1533-position model. The record is from RNAcentral.